Molecule: ribosomal RNA, 506 nt
Filed under: uncultured bacterium
Lineage: Bacteria
Description: partial 16S ribosomal RNA
Rfam family: Bacterial small subunit ribosomal RNA
Source: RNAcentral
AGUGAACGCUGGCGGUAGGCCUAACACAUGCAAGUCGAACGGCAGCACAGGAGAGCUUGCUCUCUGGGUGGCGAGUGGCGGACGGGUGAGGACUACAUCGGAAUCUACUUUGUCGUGGGGGAUAACGUAGGGAAACUUACGCUAAUACCGCCUACGACCUACGCGUGAAAGAAGCGGAUCUUCGGACCUUGCGCGAUUUAAUGCGCCGGUGUCGGAUUAGCAAAUUGGCGGGGGAAAGGCCCACCAAGGCGGCGAUCCGUAGCUGGUCUGAGAGGAUGAUCAGCCACACUGGAACUGAGACACGGUCCAGACUCCUACGGGAGGCAGCAGUGGGGAAUAUUGGACAAUGGGCGCAAGCCUGAUCCAGCCAUACCGCGUGGGUGAAGAAGGCCUUCGGGUUGUAAGGCCCUUUUGUUGGGAAAGAAAUCCAGCUGGUUAAUACCCGGUUGGGAUGACGGUACCCAAAGAAUAAGCACCGGCUAACUUCGUGCCAGCAGCCGCCGCGG